CGGGAGGCUCCAGCAGUGGGGAAUAUUGCACAAUGGAGGAAACUCUGAUGCAGCAACGCCGCGUGGAGGAUGACACUUUUCGGAGCGUAAACUCCUUUUAUAUAGGAAGAAGAUGACGGUACUAUAUGAAUAAGCGCCGGCUAACUCCGUGCCAGCAGCCGCGGUAAUACGGAGGGCGCAAGCGUUACUCGGAAUCACUGGGCGUAAAGAGCGUGUAGGCGGAUUAAAAAGUCAGAAGUGAAAUCCUAUAGCUUAACUAUAGAACUGCUUCUGAAACUCUUAAUCUAGAAUAUGGGAGAGGUAGAUGGAAUUUCUGGUGUAGGGGUAAAAUCCGUAGAGAUCAGAAGGAAUACCGAUUGCGAAGGCGAUCUACUAGAACAUUAUUGACGCUGAGACGCGAAAGCGUGGGGAGCAAACAGGAUUAGAUACCCCGGUAGUC
RNAcentral lists this ribosomal RNA (439 nucleotides) under uncultured bacterium. RNAcentral describes it as "partial 16S ribosomal RNA". It matches the Rfam family "Bacterial small subunit ribosomal RNA", at positions 342 to 795 of the family's 1533-position model. The record is from RNAcentral.